AGCAGCCGCGGUAAUUCCAGCUCCAAUAGCGUAUAUUAAAGUUGUUGCAGUUAAAAAGCUCGUAGUUGAAUUUCGGGAUCAAUAUGUUGGUCGUGCCUUGGUACGUACUGGCAUUAUCGAUUCCUACCUUCUGAAGAAUCUCGAUGUCAUUAAUUUGGUGUCUUGGGGAAUCAGGACUGUUACUUUGAAAAAAUUAGAGUGUUUAAAGCAGGCUCACGCUUGAAUACAUUAGCAUGGAAUAAUGAAAUAGGACGUUUGAUUCUAUUUUGUUGGUUUCUAGGAUCGACGUAAUGAUUAAUAGGGAUAGUUGGGGGCAUUAGUAUUCAAUUGUCAGAGGUGAAAUUCUUGGAUUUAUUGAAGACUAACUACUGCGAAAGCAUUUGCCAAGGAUGUUUUCAUUAAUCAAGAACGAAAGUUAGGGGAUCGAAGACGAUCAGAUACCGUCGUAGUCUUAACCAUAAACUAUGCCGACUAGGGAUCGGAUGAUGUUAAUUUUUUAAUGACUCAUUCGGCGCCUUACG
Molecule: ribosomal RNA, 521 nt
Filed under: uncultured Glomus
Lineage: Eukaryota; Fungi; Glomeromycota; Glomeromycetes; Glomerales; Glomeraceae
Description: SSU rRNA
Rfam family: Eukaryotic small subunit ribosomal RNA
Source: RNAcentral